AUGGCGGCGGGCAGGACGGACCGAGCUACAGCAGCGGCCGCGCGAGGAAGUGAGGUCUCUGGCGAAGGCGGGAAGCGCUGCCCCUCCCCCCCGCCGCCGCUCCCCUAUCACCCUCGCACAGAAACUCCCGCACACUCACACACCUCUGCUCAGGAGUCCAGGAAGAGCAGGAGCCGCCCCCGCGCUCCUACGGAGUCGGGCAAUGCAGAGGCCCAGGCGCGGCGGAGGGGAGGGGGAAGUGUGCGUCACGGAGAACGGAGCGCGCGCGAAGCGGGGGCACAAGCAAGAUGGCGGCCACGCCGUUUGCACCGUUUCCCCUUUUCCCUUCCCCCUCCCCUGGCGCCUGGACUCCCAGUAUCGUGCAGUACGCAGAAGCUGUGCUCCUUGA
This is an RNA transcript of Pan troglodytes (chimpanzee), 388 nucleotides long. RefSeq lists it as uncharacterized. The transcript has a single exon. The record is from RefSeq and is a predicted model, not a curated record. Lineage: Eukaryota; Metazoa; Chordata; Mammalia; Primates; Hominidae.